RNAcentral lists this ribosomal RNA (122 nucleotides) under Oltmannsiellopsis viridis. The record is from RNAcentral. Lineage: Eukaryota; Viridiplantae; Chlorophyta; Ulvophyceae; Oltmannsiellopsidales; Oltmannsiellopsidaceae.
AGUCCUGGUGCGCUUGCUGCAGUGGAACAACGCCAAUCCAUCCCGAAUUUGGUUGUUAAACAUUGCAGGGCUGAAACUAGUGAAGGCGGGGGCCUUUGUGAAUCAAUGCUCGUGCCAGGGCA